UGGCAUCUAAAUCCAAUAGAGCGUUGGGAAAACAAAAGUUGUAAAGAACAUAAUUAAGGGCUGUAACAAUAACAAUAAGUAUUCACUAACUCUAACAAUAAGAAAAACAAUCUUAAAUCUGAAGGGCCCAAGACAAGAAAAUCAAAAAAGUCAUCCAUGAAAGGGAAAACCUGUCGGGGUUAAAGAACUACAACAACAAAAUCUUGGCAAGCCUCAAGAGACCUCAUCCAUGAAUAUUAGCAGCUUCCCAACCAAAUUGGCAGAUCAGGGUUGGUAAGGUCACGAGCCUGCAGAGCAGCAGUUCUUAGCGUCCUAAUUGUCGACAUGUUGGCCUCCCAAAACGAUAAACUCCUAUAAGGCAAAUUAUGCUUCUUGCAUAGGUCCUUCACCAAAGGGGAAAUGCUCCUCAAAUGGCACCUUGGCAACUGAGGAAACAAAUGGUGCUCAAGCUGAAACUGCAGACCACCAUGAAACCAGUCCAUCCAAGUUGAGCAUGAAAUAUAAAUUGUCCCACUAUUCUGCUUCUCAAACCAAUCGUUCCCACAAGGCGGCCCAACAUACACAUUAGCUGAAAAUUGGUUCAAAGUGAAUUAAAUAUGUUGAAUUGAAGUCCUUGUAGCAUUUGAACAAGUUGUGGGUUGAAUAGGGCUGAAGCUUGCUGUAAUUCAGCUGCGCACUCGUCGCUUCUGCUCCUCCUGGCACAUUCUACUGGUACACACCCCAUUCGUCCAGUGCUUGUCGGAUUCUCUUGUUGUUGCAUGUCGGAUUCCCCGCGGUGAGUUUAGAUGGAGUUGACAACUGAGUUCUACAUGAUGAGCCAAAAAACGUUUGGGUUGGGCCAUCCUCGCCACCUCUUCACGGAUGAUUUGCUGCAUAUUGAAACUGCUAUGGUGUUCAGUUUGAAGGAAAGAAGAAGACGACAUGACAGUGAGGCUGAGUGCUGCUGAUCAAAAUGUGCAUGUGCGGAGGAAUAAGGAGGGAGAAUUAGUGGAUGGGAAGUAUGGAUAGCUAUUCAUUAUCACAGGUGGAUUUUGGGCAGCUUGGGCAGCCCAAAGCAUGGGCUGUGUCAGAAGAAAGACUUUUGAUGUCUGGUGAAGGUGGUAGGGAUAGGUUUUUUUGAUUGCCUAAAGAAUAGGGUGUUGCAGGGUAUGGCAUGGUCUGAAGUACUUGUCUUGAGCAACUAAAAAUAAGCUUUAAAGAGAGAGUGGUAUGAGAUACGGUUUAAGCCAUCUGAAAUAUGAGCAGUAGCAUGUAGCAACAAAGCAUAAUUGAUGGGUGAGAUAAAUGGGAAGCUAGGCUAUUGAUGGACGGUUGAUGCAUGGGUUCGUUUAAGGUGUGUUUGGAAUGUUUUAAAUUAUAUGAAAGCUAAAUAUAAAUAUUUUAUAAAAUCAUACAAGUUGCAUAUUUGUUUUUUAUUUACAAAAUUAAAUUAUUUUAUGUUUUGAUGUGUGAUUUUUAAUAUCAUAUACACUUUACUUAUGAUUCAUGAUAUCUAAAAAUAAUAAUUAUUUUGGCAUGUUUAUUAUAUAAAAAAAAUAACACAUUUUGUUUUAUAUUUUAUAAGACAUGAAUUAGAUAACCAUAAUAAACUCAAAUUUUAAUUUUGUUUUUGGUUCAUAAAGUAUUAAAAAAAGAAUUGCUUUGAUAUAUUAAUAAACUCAAAUCUUUAUUUUGAUUUAGGAUUCCUUUGAUGUUAAAAAAUAAAAUUAUUUUAUCAUAAAAUAAAGAUUUGAAUAUAUAUUUAAUAACCUUAACAUAUUAUUUCUCAAUUUAAUCAUUCAAUAUAUUGAUUAAUACCUCAAUUUCUAUAAUUUAUAAGAUAAAGUUAACAAAAAAAACUUGAAUCUUAUUAAAUCAUUCUUAAAAAAAAAAAAACAACCUCAUUCCAAUUCAUUAUCAAAACCUUAUUAUAUUUUAUAUUUUUAAAGAAUAUGAUAUCAAUUAUUAUAUUAUUUUAAAACAUAAAUUUAUUUGUAAGAAUUAAGGGUUUAGAAUUCUAAACAAACCUAAAUAUGCUAUAACUCAAUAAAAAAACAAAGUCCUAAAUUAAUAAUUAAGGAUCACUACACACGAAAUAGGGAUCCACUUAUUCUCUCCAAAAUAUCUAAUUGAAAAUCCAAAACUAAUCAUCGAUAUAGUCUUACUAGACCAUCAAUUAAUAAAAGCUAAAAACAACUCAAAAAAUAACCACAAUUGCACACUAAAGCAUCAAAGCAUGUAGGAGGACAAUCCUAUAUGGAAUGUGUCAAGAGAACAAAAUAGAGGGUUUAUAAUAUUCUAAGAAAAAAAACACGUUACCAUAUACAUAAUCAUCUUUCUUAGUUUAGACUUUAAUAUGGUAGUAUCAAACUAAAGUUGUUUGAUUGUCAGCCACUUUAUUAAGCUAGGUUUAAGUCUUUUCAUACUUCAACUCUAUCCCAGUUCAUUUAUACUAUAUCUUUAUAUUUUAAUACUUAGGGUUUAUUUGCUUUCACUAGUAUUUUUCAAUUUUAUAAUUUCAAGGAGACGCCUAAAUAAUAUUACUUUAAGCAUUUUUUUAAUUUUUUUUGGUUUUAGGAUAUAAAUGGUCUAUUUGAUAACUGUUUUUUAGAAUAGUUUUUUUGUUCUCUAUAACAAAAAAAAAAAAAAAAAACCUUUGAUAAUAAAAAAUAUGAUAUUUUUAGAUAACAUCUUUUAGUUAUUUUCUAUUAUUUUCACUUCUUUUUUAUGAUUAUUUUUAAAAAUAAUUAUACAAACAUAUAAAAUUAUUAAAAAUAAAAUAUUAAACAUAAAAAUUAUUUUUAAAAAUAUUAAAAACAGGUUAAAAACAUUUUAGGUUUUAAAACAUAUAUAUUUUUUUUCACAUAAAACAUUAGAUAACAAUUUUUAUCUUGACUUUUUUUUCCUAUUGAGAGUGACAAUUUAUUUUGAAAACAUUAAAUAUAAAAAUUAAUAUAAAAUUUAUUUGAAAAACAUAUUUAAAAUAUUAAAAACAGUCUAAAAACAUUUUAAGUUUGAAAUAGAUUUUUAUUUUAUAAAUAUGAAAGAAUAAUUUUUAAAUGCUUGAUAGCUUUAUAUUUUUUAUUUUGUACCAUCAAAUUUUAAAAAAGAAAAUGGCUAACAAACAUGUGUGAUAUAUCAUAAUUCUAAAAACAAAAAUAUAAAUAUAUAUAUAUAUAUAUAUAUAUAUAUAAAUUAUAAAUUUUAUUAUUUACCCAUUUUUCUAAAGACAAUUUCAUAAAAUGAAUUAUUACUUUGGACUGUAUUUGGCAAUUAGUUCUGAAAAUAGUUUAAAAAAAAAAAAAGUUUUAAUAUUUUGUGUGGUGGAGUCACGUCAUCAGCAUCCUAAACCAUGAAAUGGUUAAAUGUUGCAGGUUAGAUGGGUUAGCUUUGGACUACUUAUAGGCUAUAGGAUAGUGGAGAAGUGGAGAAAAUGUCAUAUCCCCAAUCAUUAUCCCUAAAUUGUUAGCUACUUAUAGCAUAUCAAAAUACUGAACAUUACCACCCAGUCGGUGGAGAAAAAAAAUAAAAAAAAGGGAAAAAAAAAUCCAUAAAAAAAUGUGUUGAGGGGGAAAAAAAUCCAUAAAAACUUAUUACUAUAUAUUUAAACGUUUGUGAUAUAUAUAAUUAGAAUCAAGGAUAAAAAUAUCAAUAAUUAUAUAUAUAUCGCUACUGUGAUUUUAGGGAUAUAUCAGAAAUAUUAGAGAAAUAUCAAUGAAUAUUUUUUCACAAAUAUCGGUCGAGCGAAAAUUAUUUAACAUUCAUAGGAAUGAUUGGAAAAACUGUAAAAAUGAUAAAAUAAGCAAGAAUACACAUUUUAAAAUUAUUUUGUAAGUAUAAUUGACAUAGAUAUGAUAAAAAGAAAAAAACAUAGAUAAACAAACAUAUAUUGGUAUAUUCGAUAUUUCAAUUUUAAGAAUAAUAAAUAUGCAUUUUGGAAAUGAAUAAAGUUAGAAUUGAGUUAAAAAAAUAUUUGUUUUUAUUGAAUAAAAAUAAUUUAUACAUAUGAUAUUGCAAUAGGAGUUAGUAUCAAAAUAAAGAUCGAUAUGGUUCUAUCAUAUUAUUAGAUGAAGGGAGCCUAUCUUGUUGAAGACAAUAUUUAUUUUCAAAAUUUUAAAAUACUUUUAUUAUAACAUGUUUUAUUACAUUUUAAAUGAAAAAUGAAAUUAAUUUAUAUAAAAUAUUUUAUUUGAGAUUUAAUUUCUAUAAUUUUAUUAAAAAUAUGUUAUAACAAAUUUUUUUAUUAACAUUAAUUUAUUUAAAUAAUUAAAAUUAUUAAUAAUUUAUCUUAUGAAAUUAAUUUUAAUUUCUAAAAUAUGGCCCAUAGAAAGCCAAAUUUCUGAUUUCAUCAAGAUGGAUAAUUAAUAUAUAUUUUUAUUGAGGGAGGAAAAUUGUUCUCAUAAUUUGUUUCCUUGUUUUUCUAUUUGUACUAAAUCUAAAAAUCAAAAGGCCUCACUUCCUUUGACUCGGCCAUGAAGAAGCCAUUUCUCCAGUUGCCUUCCACAAGAGAGAAUCCCUAAAAAGGCCAUUUUUUCCUCUGCCACUCUCUUUCAACGCAAGUACUAAUCUGAUAUGGUUACUAUUACUAUUAUUAUUAUUGCAAUCCCCAUUUGAUUCCCACAAAAACUCUUUCCCCCAUUCCAUUUCUGGGAAGAUUCUUCCCCGGUUGAUUUCGGAGACAAUCCAUGCAAAACCCCCAUGGAAAACCAUAAAAAAAAAUGUUCUUUUUCUUUGUUCCGUGUGGUUUCUGGAUGUGUUGUAAGGGUGUCUUAGCUUUUGUACCAUUGGAUUUAAAUUUUAUGAACCCUAACUCCACGAUUUUUUGGGCAGGUUGAAAAACUCAACCUUUGCCUGCAAAUCAUGGUCAUAUUAUCGAAUAGCAUCUUAUGUUUUUUUUUUUUUUAAAAAAAACGGAUAGAUUUUGUAUCCUGUACGUGGGUUGGACUGGUAGGAAAUAUCGGUCAAUUUUCUGAAAAAUCGUAAAAAUACCGAUUAAUACCGAAAUAUCGGAUAAAUUUUUGAAAAAUUACCGAAAUUUCUGUGGACCAAUAAUUGGUUACGAAUUUUGUGUUGGAGUCGGUAUCUUUCAUCAUCCACAUGGGUAUGGAAUUGUUCCAUUUUUGGGACAAGGAGCUUAACUAAAGUUGGUGAAGUGGAGACAAAGCAGGAAGAUGGGAGGAAACUAUUCCUUUAUUUAUUAUUAUAAUUAUUAAUUGUUAAUUAUUAUAAUUAUUGAAAUGGUCGUCACUUUUUGAUUUUAUUGACUUAGAUGGAAGUGGAACCUCCAUAUGGCCAUAUAGGUUGGUGGUUGGCCCUUUAGUUUUUUUAUUUUCUUUUCUCCACCUAGUGUACUAGGAUUAGAUUAGGCAUCCUUUUGGAACUCUUAUAUAAAUUUUCAAGGAUAUUUCCCAUCGAAAUAGUAUUUUAUUAAUAAUUAUUAUGAAAGCAAUGACAAAAAAAUUUAUUAAAAAAAUAUGACAAAUUUUAUGGUAAAAUUAUUUAUUAAUCAAAAAUAGUUUCUAUGAAAAAGAUAAACAUGAAAUAUGAAAAUUCUAAAAUUAUUGAAAGAAAAAGAUUAUAAAAUAAAUAUCAUAAAUAAAUUAAAAUGGAUAUUUUAUAAUUCUAAUUUAUUUAUUACAAAAUUCAUUAUAAAAUAUUUUAUUGCUAUGUAAUAAUGGUCCACAAUUUUCAACCCAUUGUAGAAAUAAAGCAAAGCUUUCUCAAAUUGCAUUGGUACGUAAUGAUGAUCCUAUUUUUUUAGCCAAAAAGUAGAACAAGAAACAUGAAACCUGAUGAGAAAAAAAAAACAAACAAGGAGAAAAAGAACUAAGAGUUUUAAUGGAGAUUGAUGUUCUAUUUGUUGUUUAAAAGUUCAUCUCCUUGUACCAAAAAUGCAGGUCCUCCUAGGUUAGCUUUUGAAUUUCUCAAUCACUAGAGGACAAUUUCAAGGGACAAGUCUUGUUAAGGUAAUUUUUUACUCUCCCCGGUUUCUCUCUCUCUAUACUUUCCAAUGAAACUCUAACUUGUCAAUACUUCAUUUUUUUAUAAAGGAAAUUGAGCAUAAAUAAUCAAACUUGCAAUUGAGUUAUUUGAUGGUUAGUAGAUUUGGUCUAGUGGGUGGGUUUACUUUUAAUUUAAUUUGAUUCCAUUGAAUGUGACGUUGAUGACUUUAUAUUUUGAGUAUUAACUUUUGUUUGUUUGUUGCCAAGUGUAAUUAAAUUUCUCUACUCAUAAGUUUUCAAGUAAAUAUAUUUCUUUUUUCCUCUACUAGGCAAAUAGCAAAUAUGUUAAAGGAAUUAAAUGUAUUUCAUUUUAAUGUGUUUAGGAUACUUAGAUAGGAUUUAAAUAAGUUCAUGCAUGAAACAUUAGACUUCCCGUUCUAGCAUCCUUGUAUGAAAAAAAUUUCUCUUAUUACAUGCUAAGGACAUUUAAGUUGUCAAAGAAUGAAAAUGGUUCAUUGAUGAACAACUUUGAAGUUGACAACUUCUAAAUUUGUCUAGCAUGUGAAUGAGACUAUUUUUUUCUACAAAUGAUGCUUGAAGUGUCCAAUUGGACAAUAUAAGGAAAACAUAAUAUCUUUGAAGUUACGCUCUUAUGCUUGGUUCAUUUUUUAGAAAUUUCGAUAGUCGUUCCUUUUGUUCUCUAAGUGCAUAUUUGGACAAGGCUGAAUAAUAUGCCUUCUCCAUUUUGUGUACUUGGAGAACUAUAGGGAAAUGCUGUCGAAAUUUUUCUAAAAUGAAACGAAACAUAAUAGUUGUUGACAUGUAGGGAUUAUGUAUUCCUAUAUGGGAUAGGAACCACCACCUAAACUAGGAAGUUGGAGAUGUUAGAAUGCAUAAGACAUGUAGUAUAAGUUGAUAUUAGUUUAACAAGAUAGAAUCAUGAGAGUUAAUUAUGUUUCUUGGUUUAAUAUUUUGAUAUAUAAUUUUAUUUUAAUUUUACAGAAAUAUGCAUAAUAAAUUAUCUUUGACGAUUCGAGAGUGAAUAAAGACUUAAACAAAUGUAAGAUAUAUUUAUUUCUCAUUUGCAUGGUAGGACAUCAACUAGAUAGGAUCAUAAUUCUAUAAGAGAACCACAUUUAUUACUUUGGUUCAAUACGUAAUGAAAUUAAAUGUAUUUAAUAAGAUGAAAUAUCAUGAAGUAAUAGAAAUUUUAAAUUGAUAAUUUGUGGCAUUAACUACAAUGACAUGAAUUGAAUAAGACAAUUUUUAUAAUUAACCACCCCACUUUCAUAUACUUGUAGACAACAUGGAUAUAUUACAUGAUGAAUCCUUUUGAUAUAUGAUACAACAUUAACAUUUCAAAAGUGUUAAAACAAUUGCUUUUGUAGACAAAAAAAAAAAAAAAAAAAGGUCUAAUGCAUGGAGCAAGAGCCCUUACUCUUAACAAGUUGAUUCUAAUGUUAAAAUUCCUCAUGAUUAAUUCAUUGUGUAUUUGAAUCAUAGAAUGGAUCGAAGUUGGAUGUCUAAAGAUAGAAUGUCAAGGGAGUACGAGGAAGGAGUUGAAUACUUCAUUAAUUUUGCAUUAGAACAUUGUCCCAAUCAACGUGGAAUUCGUUGUCGUUGUAUGCGAUGUGGAAACUUAAUACAUCAUACACCUAACAAGACGGGAACAUAUGUUUUUCAAUGGAAUUGACCAGAGUUAUUAUACAUGGUAUUGGCAUGGAGAAGCAGGUCUUACUAGUAGCCAACCAACUGAAAUGGCACAACGUUAUGACACGAUGGAUUGUGGUGACGUUGCUAGUACAGUAGAAAUGGUUCAUGCUAUAGAAGAUGAGUUUAUGACAGACCCAAUGUCAUUUAAAAAAUUGCUUGAAGAUGCUGAAAAACCUUUGUAUCCUAGUUGUAUAAAGUUCACAAAACUUUCUGCACUAGUUAAAUUGUACAAUGUGAAGGCACGGUAUGGGUGGUCAGAUAAAAGCUUUUCAGAUUUACUCCAAAUAUUAGGGGAUAUGCUCCUGGUCAACAAUGAGAUGCCUUUAUCCAUGUAUGAGGCAAAGAAAACAUUGAAUGCAUUAGGGAUGGAAUACAAAAAGAUACAUGCAUGCCCAAAUGAUUGCAUACUAUACAGGAAUGAGUUAAAUAAAGCAUCUUCAUGUCCUACUUGUGGAACGUCAAGGUGGAAGGUAAACAAGGCAGGGGCAAGAAACACUAAGAGGAUUCUUGCAAAAGUGUUGUGGUAUUUCCCACCCAUCCCUAGGUUUAAGAGGAUGUUUCAAUCUCCCAAAAUAGCGAAAGACCUAAAAUGGCAUGCACAAGGAAGAGAAAAUAAUGGUAAACUUCGACACCCAGUGGAUUCCCCAACAUGGCAACUAGUGAACCAAAUGUGGCCUGAAUUUGCUUCGGAUUGUAGGAACCUUAGACUUGCCAUUUCAGCAGAUGGUAUCAAUCCUCAUAGCUCCAUGACCAGUAGGCAUAGUUGUUGGCUUGUUCUCACAAUAACUUACAACCUUCCCCCUUGGUUAUGCAUGAAGAGGAAAUUUAUGAUGUUAUCUUUACUAAUAUCAGGACCACGACAACCUGGUAAGGAUAUCGAUGUUUAUUUGGCACCAUUAGUUGAUGAUUUGAAAACAUUGUGGGAUGUAGGGGUGAAAGCCUAUGAUGCACAUCAACAAGAGUUCUUCACAUUAAAUGCUAUUUUGUUAUGGACGAUUAAUGAUUUCCCUGCAUAUGGAAACUUGUCUGGUUGCACCGUUAAGGGAUAUUAUGCUUGUCUAAUAUGUGGUGAAGAAACAAAUUCACAUUGGCUAAAACAUGGGAAUAAGAACUCAUACACCGGGCAUAGAAGAUUUCUUCCAUGCAACCAUCCAUUUAGAAAGCAAAAGAAGGCAUUUAAUGGUGAACAAGAGUUUAGGUUACCUCCAAAAGAACUUACUGGAGAUGAAAUAUUUACAAAGGUUGAUAUGAUUCAUAACUCAUGGGGGAAAAAAAAAGGCUAAACAAUGUGAAUCCUUUGCUAAUCCGACAAGUUGCUGGAAAAAGAAGUCUAUAUUUUUUGAACUUGAAUAUUGGAGAUAUUUUUAUAUCCGACACAACUUGGAUGUCAUGCAUAUAGAGAAGAAUGUUUGCGAGAGCAUCAUUGGAACUUUGCUUAACAUUCCAGGUAAAACAAAGGAUGGAGUAAAGUCUCGACUUGAUUUUCUCGAAAUGGGCUUAAGGCCUAACUUAGCACCAAGGUUUGGGUUGAAGCGAACUUAUCUUCCUCCUGCAUGCUAUACUCUUAGUAGAAAGAAGAAGAAAAUACUAUUACAGACUUUAGCUGAUUUGAAGGUUCCAGAAGGUUAUUGUUCAAACUUUAGAAACCUUGUGUCCAUGGAAGAGCUAAAGCUUAAUGGUCUUAAGUCCCAUGAUUAUCAUGCACUUAUGCAACAACUACUACCAGUAGCAAUAAGAUCCGUGUUGCCUAAGCAUGUCAGAUAUGCCAUUACAAGAUUGUGUUUUUUCUUUAAUGCGCUUUGUGCAAAGGUGGUGGACGUGUCAAGAUUGAAUGAUAUACAACAGGACAUAGUGGUGACUUUGUGCUUGCUAGAGAAAUAUUUUCCACCUUCCAUCUUUGACAUCAUGCUUCAUUUAACAGUGCAUUUGGUAAGAGAGGUUAGAUUAUGUGGACCAGUGUAUAUGAGAUGGAUGUACCCAUUUGAAAGGUACAUGAAAGUCCUCAAGGGUUAUGUUCGAAAUCAUAAUCGUCUAGAAGGGUGCAUUGCUGAGUGCUAUAUCGCAGAGGAAGCCUUAGAGUUUUGUACAGAGUAUUUAUCGUGCAUGGAUGCAAUUGGGAUUUCUUCUAGUGUGAAAGAUGAAUGGAAAUGUGGGAAACCAUUACUUGGUGGUCGUGCAAUAACUAUUCAUGAUUACAAAUUGGUGGAGCAACCACAUCAUUAUGUUCUACAAAAUACAACCAUUGUACAACCGUUUAUUGAGUAAGUGUCAUAUAUGUGAAUAUUUGAUUUUAAAAUUCUAACUAAUGUUUAUACAAACCAUGACUUGCCUAUUUUUGCUUGAUAGUGAACAUAUGAAAUAUUUGAAGACAAAAUAUCCUCGUCAAUCAAAGAGAGUGAAGUGGCUAGAGGAUGAACAUGUGCGCACAUUUAGUUAUUGGCUUAGAAAAAAGGUAUGAAACUAUUCAUACUCCCCUUAAAAUUUAAUGCUUACAAAAUUUAAAUUACAUUAACUUACAUAUCAUUAAUGAACCUUAUAGGUUUCAGAUGACAUAAGUAAGAAAGAACCUAUUGAAAAGGAACUUAAGUGGCUUGCACAAGGACCAAGACAACAAGUUCUUACGUACCUUGGAUAUAUCAUUCAUGGUUGUCGUUACCACAUCAAGAACCAUGAUGAGGCACGAGUCAACCAAAAUAGUGGUGUUAGUAUUGUGGCAUCGACCAUGCAAAUUGCAAGUUCCAAAGAUAAGAAUCCUGUGCUUGGUGACAUGUGUUUUUAUGGGAUUAUCACAGAGAUAUGGGACCUUGAUUAUAACAUGUUUAACAUUUGUGUUUUUAAGUGUGAUUGGGUUGAUAGCAAGAAUGGUGUCAAAGUUGAUGAGCUUGGUUUUACAUUAGUUGAUUUGAGCAAGAUAGGACAUAAAUCAGAUCCUUUCAUUUUGGCAAUGCAAGCCCAACAAGUUUUUUAUGUAGAAGAUCAAGUUGAUCCAAGAUGGUCUAUUGUAUUAUCAAGGCCAAAAAUGGAGUUGUUUGACAUAGAAGGUGAUGACAACAUAGCCGACAAUUGUAUGGAGCAUCACCCAUUCGCGAAUGGGAUGCCUAAUAUUAAGUCUUUUGAUGAAGUUGAAGAUUAUGAUGAAAUUUGUAUGCGUACUGAUUGUGAGGGGAUUUGGAUUGAAAAUUAAGCUUAAUACUUUUUUUUGGUUGUGAUUGUGAUUACUAAGUGUAUUAUGUGAUUUUUGAGUUAUUGUUAAUAUACAAUAUGAUGCUCAACAAUGUUAUGUUUUUAUUUUAUUCUUGUCAAAUAUAUUUUUAUUAUUAUAUACUUGCUAAGCUAUUCUAAAUAAAUGUAGUUAGCAUCAUAUUUAUAUAUUUUGAAUAGUUUGAACUUUCAUUUGAGCUUAAUUGAUAUGUAGUUAAAUAAAUGUUGCUUAUAUGUUGAUAUUGUAUGUUUAAUUUAAGAUUAGACAAGAUAAAGCCAUUACUCACUUAUUUCAUAUUGAUUCAACUUUUAAAUAAUUUAAGGGGUAAUUGCAUUGAAGGUUUCCAUAGAUUUGAAUUAAAAACUUUAAAUCAAAGUGUUAAACUACGUACUAUGCAAAACAAAGCAAAAGGUUUUAUGGGAAGAUAGAUUGAAUCCACCAACCCAUAAUGAACCGGUUUGAAACAUUAAUAAAUAACAUAUAUGAAUUAACUGUAAACAUAAUAACAACCUACCUUAUAUGAAGUUGAUCUUCGUUAGGAGUCAUCUAACAAUGGAAAAAUAUGUUUUAAUUGAUAGUUGAAUAUUCUUAUUUCCAACUGAAAUGGUGUAUGAAUACCAUAAUUUUUAUUUUCUUGCUCUUUCCUUUGUUUUAGGUCACUUGUUUAUGCUAGAGAACAAAACUUUUGAGAGAUAAUUGAUCAAGUUGCAAUUUUUGUGUAAUUGAAUAACAUUAGUUUUAAAAAAUUCAAAUAAAGUUUCAUUAAUGUGAAUUUGGUGGAUUUUUUACUUUAUGUGAAUUUAGAGAAAAUCUUCUUCAAUUUAUUUUACUUCAACGAAUGUAGUCUUUGGUUUGUUAUUGUUAACUAUUAGUGACAUUACUCCAUCCUCAAUAUUGUGUAAGUGAAGCCAUGUAUCCUAGAAUCAUUAAAGUUAAGGCAACCACAUCUCAUUACAUAUGAUUAAUACUUAUAUGCUUAAUAGUAGGAAAAUCAAACACCUUGCAAUGCAUCCUCAACCCACACUUUUAAACUUCAUUUUAUGAGUAUUGCAUCCUAACUAGAAACAUGCAUUCCAAUUAGGACCUUAUAACAGUAGUGACUAAAAUAGAUGUAAUUUAACUAAGCUAUAAGUAGAAUGUGUGUGUGUGUGUGUGUGUUUAUAAGAUAAGUCAUGGUAAUUUUCUUUAAACUCGAUGAUAUGUUGUUGUUGAGGUUUAGCAAUAGAUUAGCCUAUUAAUUUUAUGCAUAUUUUAUAAUCAACAUUUAAGAUUAAUUUUCAUGUAUUGCAAAGUUUGUACAACAAUGAUUUAUUCAUACUUAUGAAAUCAUUUCGUAACUAAUUUCUUUCGAUUUAGUUGAGAUGCAUUUUCAAGUGUUGUUUAUUAUUGCCUAAUUCUGAAUUAUUUGGGAACUUGGGAGAAAAGUGCUACAUUUUUACGGAUGGCUCCACCAAGAAGAGAUAAAAAGCAGGUAACUAUUAAAAUAUCAUGUUUUACUUUUGAAUGUAAGAUAUAUAUAUAUAUGUAUGUAUGUAUUAUGAGAUUAAUCAUAUUCUUUUGAUUGUCAUGUAGAUGGAUGAAAAGGAAGGAAAACAGAAGAUUACUUCACCAAAAAGGUUAAGAGGCCCAACUUUAAAACCUGAAAUUGCUAAAAAGAGAAGUGAAAGACUGAAAAUUGACAUUCAAUAUAAUGAUGAUGGUGAGGGAGUGGGUGAGGGAUAUGUACAACUUGUAUCAUACAUGGGUGUGUUAGCACGAACCAUGGUGCCAGUUUAUCAUACUGAUUGGAGAGUAGUGUCUGUGGAAUUGAAGGAGAAAUUAUGGGAUUGCGUUAAGGUAUAUAGAAAUCUAUUGAAAUUAUUUUUCUAUAUUUUGUGUAGACUGACAUGAUUAUUAAAUAAUCAAUAUCUUCUUAUAAAGUAUGUAGUAAUCUAAUGAAAUUAUUUUCCUUUAUUUUGUGUAAAUAAUCAAGAUCUUAUAUUUUAGGGUGCAUUCUUGGUUGAUGAGAAUAGAAAAAACAACGUCAUAUCAUCCAUUGGGACUAGCUUUAGGUCAUUCAGGCAUAGAUUGACACAAGAGUAUAUCCUGCUUUAUAAGGAUAAGCCCGAGUAUCUUUUGCAGCCACCAACUGAAUAUAAUUACAUUCCAAUUGAAGACUGGAGAAAGUUAGUGGCUAAUAGGUUGUCAAAAGAGUUUCAAGUUAAAUCAAAAAAAGGAAAAGAAAGGAGGGCAAAAUACGUUUAUAUUCAUCGAGUGAGUAGGAAAGGAUAUGCAGGACUUCAAGAAGAAUUGGUAAGUUGAAUUAGUAUAUUUUAUUUUGUUGGACAUUUACUUUUGUAAAGUUUAAGUACUUCACUUUUUUGUUUUUUGAUAGAUGCAAAAGACAGGUUCGAGGAAACCUAUUGAUAGAUGGGUCUUGUGGAAGCUAACAAGAUUGAAAAAAGGUGAAUAUGAUGAAGUUACGAGGCCUGUAGUGGAAAAGAUUGUAAGUUGUCAAACCUAUACUUAGUUUUAGUCAAUUUCAUUUGUUUUUAUUUAUUUAAUAUGACUUUUGAAGUAUCUUAUAUUUUUUUGGAGGAUGAGUUGACAAAGGCUGUUGAGGAAGGAAAGAUCACAUGUGUUGGCCAAAAGGAUAUCCUUACUUUAGCAUUGGGUACAUUAGAGCAUCCUGGACGGGUUAGAGGAAAAGGUGGAAAAAAAAAGCCCAAACAAUUCUUCAACACACCAAAACCCACAAAAACUCUUGAAAAGGAGGAAUGUCAAAGGAUGUUAAUGGAGAAAGUCAAGAGCUUGGAAGAGGAGAUCAUUGCUUUGAAAGCUGGAAAAAAAGAACCCCUCACACCCCGCUCUGAAGUGAGCAGCACAAACAUAAGGAAACAAUUGUUGCAACAUGAAGAAAUAGGAGGGAAGACUCAUGAUAGUGCUCAUGUGGAGAACCUAUCAGCACAAGGGACUCGAAAAGCUUCUCCACUAACUCAGGUAUAUAUGCCUUUUUCUAAGUUAAAUUUAUAAAAACAAUAUAUAAAAUAACUAUAAUGAAAGACUAAGGAUUACAAAAUAUGUUUUUACAGGUUUAUAAAUGCAAAUUAGCUCUUGAAACUGAAGAUAACAUUGUUGCAUAUGGAACUUAUUUACGAGAUUCACAGAUUUCCAUUGAUGGUGCUGAUAUAUUAGUGGUCAUCCUUUACCCUCUUCAACCUAAUGCACUUCUUCCAUUCCCACUUUCUGAAAACAUUAGGACAAUAAGGGAGGGUGUUGGAUAUGAGGUUUUGUGGCCUAUUGCAUUUGUGAUAAAUGAUGAUGAUGAGGUGAAUAACGUUAUACCCAAACUUUCAAAGUUGAGUUAUAUUUUCCUACACUCUUGGUUUCUUUAUUAAUCAUUUUAAUGUCAUGCAUCUAUUUAUGUGUUUAGGAUGUUGGCAAGAGGAAGAAUAAAAUGAAGAAGAUACAAGCAUCCCCAAAGAAAAUCAAAUAUGAGAAUCCUAGAGAUGUACAACUAUUUUCUAAAACAGUUUCAACAAUGUUGGAGGGUAAAUCGGCACCCAAAGUUGACUUUCCAAUCAAUGUUUUUGGGAUGAAAUUUCAAACUUUCCUCUUGACAAGUGAAAUGAAUGAUGUAAUUUCUGCAAAAGAGUUGACUAUGAAUUGCAUAUGUUUCUAUAUUUGGUGAGAUUUUGUUGUAAAUCUUUAUGUUACAUUCAUGAUAUAAAUAAGUAGAAGCUGUUUUUUUGUUAAGUAAUUUUAAAUUGGGUGAUAUUUCAUUAGGCGGUUGCAUGAACAUCUGGAUGAGACACUACAGGAGAAAAUUAUAUUUAUUCAUCCAGGAAUGGUGUCCAAGGCUGGAACAAUAGCCCCACAAAUUGAAAAAAGAGCAAGGUUCAUUGUUGAUCGCCUAAUUGACUCCAAAUUGGCAGACUUGGUUUUUCUUCCAUAUAACCCAAGGUAAGUUGUUAAUCAUAAUUGUUUUUAAUUUCUUAGCCUUAUAAAUGCUAUUUAUCUAAAUUAUAUGUUAAUAUAUUGUAGGUUUCAUUGGGUUUUGGUUGUAAUUGACCUCAAAUCACAAAUAGUCUACUAUUUAGACUCGCAAUUGCAACAACCAUACCAAGAUAUAAAAGAUAUUGUGAACAUGUAAGCCUACCAUAAUUUUAGUUUUCAUAUCUCAAAACGAACACUAAUGUAAUCUUAUUUUUUGUAGGGGGUUUCGAAUUUUUGUAUCUCAAAAGAAGAAAGGAUCUAAAAAAGAGCUCAAGUGGAUGGUUGUUGAGGUUACAUUUUUUUUUUUCUCCUAAACUUUUUGAAGACUUACCUACAUUUAAGUUGCUUUCUUGAAUGAAAAUUUACUUGAUUUUUGAAAUGUAAAGAUUCUAUAUGGCUUUCUCUCACAUGAAUAUAUACAUAUAUAUAUAUAUAUAUAUAUAUAUAUAUAUAUAUAUAUAUGAAUUUUCUUAGUUUAUAAUUGUUUUUGUUAUUAUUUCCUAUUUCUAACUUGAGUUGAGAAGGAUGCCAUAUAUGUUUGUUUCACUACCUUACGAAAAUAUAAUCUAAAAUGCUAUGAAUACAAUGUACUCAUAUGUCCAUUAUUCCACUAUUAAUUAAUGAAGUAGUACUAAAAAAGAACAAACCCAUUUUUUCAUGUGAUUGAAAGAUUUAUGAUCCAUUUUUACCUUCUACAAUUAAUAUUUCAAGAAAUAGUAAUAGAAACUAGAAGAAAAAUAGUAAAAUUUUUGUUAAAAAUGCAUGACUAGAAGACUUUUUUCAAUUGUAUUAUGAUGUGGAAGAUCAAACCUUAGAAAAUUCAAGCAUAAAAAAAAUUAAUAUAUACAUAAUUAGUCAAUUUGAAAUGUUGGUCAUAGGAAGAACAAUUAUUAAAUUUUGAUCACUAUAUCCAUAGCAUUUACAAUCCUUUAGAACAAUUUAGAUGUAUGUGUGGGUAAGGAAGCAAUGGGGAUCCUUUAGAUAGCUUUGAUCAUGUUACUUAGGUGUGAGUUGUUCUUUAUAUCUUUCUUUUAACCUUAGUAUGUCUUAUAUACAUCCUAUAUUUAGUUUAGAUGUUUCUUGUAAGGCACAACCUCUCUCUUUCUCUUUCUCUCUUUAAUCAAAACUCUUUACUCUUUUAUCCAUCUUCAAUCAAAUUGUUCAUAUGUAAAACAUUUAUUCCUUAUAAUUACUAAUUGCAUUUCUCUUCUAUAAUGUCAAUCUAUGAGAUGUAAAAUGAGGUUAAUACUACAUAUUUCCAAAUAUAUUAUCGAUAAUUGCUCUUGAAGCUUGAUUGAUUUACCUUAAUGAAGUCUUCAAAGUCAUGAUCUUUUCUAAGGGAUAUUCUCACAUAGACAAAAGUUAACUAUUAUAUUUUUUUAAAGUUAAUCACUAUUCUUAAUAAAUAUAAUUGAUCAUUACCUUUAUCUAUUCAUUUUUUUUUCUCCAUAUUUCACAUAUACAUGUUAUUGUACAUUCUUAUAUUUUACCUAAUUUAACCCUCCAAGUUGUAAACAUGGGAGCUUAAGGUAUUAUGCUAGACAUGUAUUGAGUAUAAUUUAGGUGCAAAUUUUACUUGAAACUAACAUUAUGUCAUUCAUUCUUUUUUUAAAUUUAAAAUGUGAAUGAUGAAAAAAUUGACCAAAUUUAUAUGAUGUCAUAUUUGAUUGUGAAAUUUUGUUGCUAUAAUUUUGCUCAUAGAGGCCCAAACAGUUGGAUGGUGUCAUGUGCUGAUAUUUUGUCAUGCGAUACAUGCAAGACAUAAUUGCAAAUAGAAGUCUCUUAACAUCUCAGGUUUAUCUGCCUAUGUAUUUUCAUAAGCACAUGAGAACUUAUACAUAUAUUUAAUGUUUCACAAUAACAUAUUUUCUCUUGUCAUAUAUUUUAGUUUGAAGGAAAAAAACCUAUUCACGAGCUAAGUUAGAUGAAGUGAGAUCUGAAUGGGUCUCAUUUUUUAGCACUCUUAUCUUAGACCAAGUAUAGUGGGUAUGUUAAUUUAUAAUUUUUUCAUAAAAUUUCAGACAUAGAUUUCAAUUAAUGUUGCAUCUUUUCUCUUUGCAAGGUUUCGGGUGACAUUUGCAGUUGUUGCAAUUUUGAGAUGACAAGAUCAUAUGUAAGAUCUUAUUGUCAUGCAUAGAUGCUGAAGUUUUGGAUACUUUUGGGUACAUACCUAUAUCUUUUAAAAGAUACAUUUGAUGAAAGUACUAAUUCAUGUUUUUUUUUUAUUAUGUAUGUUUGUUGGAUUCUUUUCGCAUAAAUUUUGGUACAUGUUAAUAUCAUUUUAGUAAAAUUUCAAAUAUAGACUUAAAGUAAUGUUUUUUUUUUUUUUUUUUUACUUGCAAGAGGUUGGGUGGCAUUUGUAGCACUUGCAAUUUUUAGAGUAUAAAAUCAUGUAUAAAUUCUUGUUAUCAUGCAUAAUUAUUUAAUUUUUGGUUCUUUUUUAGUAAAUAUCUUAUAUAUAUAUAUAUAUAUAUAUAUUUGAUAAUAGUAUAAGAUCAUGUAUACUUGUUAGGUUGUUUGUGGAUACAUUUUGAUAUAUUUAGGAUACAUAUUUAUAUCUUUUUAAUGAACUUUCAAACACAAAUAUAAAAUAAUGUUGUUUUUUUUCAUACUUGCAAAAAAUUAGGUGACAUGUUUAAUAUACAUUGGAUGUAGAUUUUAUGAAUAAAAAAUGAUACAUAAUCUAUCUAAAGCAGAUUUUACUUGGCUGUCUUAGUAAUGCUACAAAAUGAGUUUAAGCUUGCCUUUUGUUAAUCUUGCAGGUUCAUAGAAAUGUUAUCCAACAUAAAGGAAAGUGCCACUCUUCCUCUCCAUUGAAAUGGUGUUCACCAUGGAAGGAAAACUCCUCUCAUCAAUUAGUUUUUGGUUUGCCAAUGCCAUAACAAGUUAAGGUUAGCUCCUUGCUAGUGAUUAAAUUUGAGAUUUCAAAAUUUUCAAAGAUCGUAUCAACUUGAAUUUGGUUUAGGAGUUGAAUGUCUUAGUCCUACAUGGUAUGCAUUUUAAAUAACACAUCUUGUCUUUCAUUUCACAUCCAUGGAUUUGAGAUUGUAAACAUGUUAUCAAAAUCUAAAGCUGCAGUCCUAGAAGUUGUCCCAAACAACAAAGGGCACUCACAACCAAGUAAGUUGAAGAAUAAUCUUUCAAUGCAUUUCUUUUUGGUUAUUAAUGUGUUGUAGUACAAAUUAAGGUCAUAAGAUAAGUACAUUAUGAAUUUUGUAUAUACAAACAAUGGUCUUUGCUGAUCUGAUAAGAUGUCUUAUUUGUUGCACACCAUCAUGUUAUUACUACAGAUCAUUCUUCUUCUUUGUUAUAAUAAAAUAGGAUCUCUUUCAAAGAUGGAAAGGUCAAUUCACCUCGAAACUUUCUUGCUAGUACCCACUUCGAGGUUGUUCAUAAAAAUCAAAUGACUCUCUUCAAUCCCCCAUUUGUAUAUGGUUUUCUCACCUUUUGGACUUCAACUGCUUCUCAAGUGCCAUCUUCUAAGUCAUAUAUCAAGCAAUCUAAAUCAGGAACAUACCUUGAUUCCUUCAUAUGCCCAAUCAAAUUUUCCAGAACUUGAUAUAUCCCCUCUAUUUUGGGGCCCACCUCAUCCCCAACAACAAACUAUAGACAUGAUUUCCUACCUCGACCCAGCAACUACCAGUCUCCUUCUUAUUUCCCAUUUUUUUCAUCAACUUUCUCAGUCUUACAAACUCCCCCACUUACCAUCAACUGCAUAUAUAUUUGAUAGCAUCACAUAAGUCCCUGCCAUAUUAGGCCUCAAAUCCAAUAUCCUGUGAGCAGCUAAUUUUCUGGAAUUGGGAAACCUGUGUGCUUUACAAGCUCCAAGAAAUGGCCCCCAAACGCACUCAUCAGUCUUGAAUGGCAUGCUCUCUAUGAGUUCAUAAGCUUCCUCAACUUUCCCAACACGUCCUAGCAAAUCCACUUCACACCCAUAAAUCUCCUGGUCUAGACUAAUGUUAUAAUCACCCACCAUUAAUUUAAAAUAUCUCAAGCCUUCAUCUACAAGUCCAGCAUGACUGCAAGCACUAAGAAUGCCCAUAAACAAGACUCAGUCAGGCUUAAUAUCUGACCUGACCAUCUUGUCAAACAAUUCAACAACCUCUUCUCCAUACCCAUGAGUCCCAUACCCAAUCAUCAUGGUAGUCCAAGAAACCAAAUCUCUAUGAGACAUACCCCCAAAAACUUGGUGUGAAUAAACAAUAUUUCCACAUUUGGAAUACAUGUCUAUAAGGACAUUAGACAAGGCCAAAUUCCCAUCAAGGCCUCUUCGAAUAAUCCUCCCAUGAAUCUGUUGUCCACAAUUCAAAAAUGCUAAGGUCAUGCAGGCAGCCAUAAUGCUGGUAAAUGUGAAGCUAACUAAGAUAAGAAGAAAUAACAUGUAGGAUAAAUCACUCAAAGAGGGUAUAUCCGAAGUCUCAGAAGAAUUUGACACUGGUCGGAUAAAUUUUAUACUUAAACUGAAUAUAGAAUGUCUACCCACCUGGUUUGAGUGAAGAUCUAAUGUCCCUAAAAGAGAAAGUGCCCCAAUCUCUGCUGGUAGCAAAGACAACACGUUAUUCUUGAAACUUGAAGCCACGACAAUUAGAUGAAUAUCAAAUAUAAAAAGAUUUAAAAUGAAAGAAAAUCUACGUACACCAGACACUCCCAAAUAUCUAAAAUUUUUUGCUACAAGGAAUGAGAAUAUGACCCCAUAUAAAACUCUGCAAGGGAACAACAACCCUUUAUUGAUGCUGGUAUUGAUGAAAUUCCUGCAUAACUCAGAUGCACAUGUUUCAUUAGAAGAGUUGAGAGAAAAUAGUUAAGAUAAAAGAGUAUACUUAAAAACCACUAUUAAUUCCUCUAAAAAUUUACAUACGUACUGGAAAAACCUUGUAGAGACUAGAUUCACUCACUGUUCUGAUGAAAGUCAAGACGAAUGAGACGUGAAAGCCUUCUAAUAUUCUCUGGCAAGCUAGUCAACAAGUUUCUUGCUGUGAAAAUAGCAAGCAAACACAGUUUUGAGAAUACUUUAAGUAUAUUUAAACAAAGAAUCAGAUAUUGGUGGCAUCAGAUAAAGGACUAUUUACAUGUCUCAGUUGGAUUGGAUCUUUCAUAUCCCGCGAUCAAGGUGUUCCAUGUGAUCAAAUCCCUUUGAUUCAUUUCAUAGAAAUAUCUAUUUGCUUCAGAGAAACAACUACACCUGCAAUACAUGUCUAGUAUAGAAUUCAUGACAGGAAGAUUGGAUUCAAACCCAUGUUUAGUCACUGCUGCAUGCAGUUUUGGACUAAUUGAAUCGAGUUUCUCACUAUGAGUGGAAUUGGAUGAAAAUGAGUGGUAGAUAGUAGUCAUGAGUGGAUACAUCUAGUGUUCUAAUCUUAGUUCAGAACUAUGUUUUGGACUAUUUGAUAAUAGUAUAAGAUCAUGUAUACUUGCUGGGUUGUUUGUGGAUACAUUUUGAUAUAUUUAGGAUACAUAUUUAUAUCUUUUUAAUGAACUUUCAAACACAAAUAUAAAAUAAUGUUGUUUUUUUUUCAUACUUGCAAAAGAUUAGGUGACAUGUUUAAUAUACAUUGGAUGUAGAUUUUUUUUCAUUGAAUUUUUAAUAAACUUUAAAAAAUAAAUAUAAAAUAAUGUUACUUUUUUCUUUCUUGCCAAAGGUUAGGUGACAUUUGCAGUGCUGUAGUUUUUAGAGGAGAAGAUCACGCAUAAAUUUUUGUUAUCAUGUACAACUACUUGAUAUUUGGUUAUUUUUGGGUAAAUAUCUAUUCUUUUUUCAUAUAUAUUUGACAAGAUAACAAGAUUUUAUAUAGUUGUUAGGUUGUUUGGGAAUAUAUUUGGAUACAUGUUUAUAUCCUUUUAUUAAUCUUUCAAAUAUAAACAUAUAUUGAUUUUUUUUUCUUACUUGCAGAAGAUUUGGUGGCAUUUGCAGCAAUUACAGCACUUUUGAAGGCACAAGAUCAUGGCUACAUUAUAUUUAUCAUGUAUAACUAUUGGAUUUUUGGGUACAUAUUUGCCUUUUUUUAGAUGUAUGUGAGAUAAUAUAAGAUUAUGCAAGGAUAUUAAGGUUUUUUUUUUUUUUUUUGUCAAUAUAUUUGCCUACAUGUUCAUAUUUUUUUUAAAGUAUAUUUUAUACAUUCAUGUACUUUAUAUAUAUAUAUAUAUAUAUAGACACACACACAACAGGUUCAAUUUUGAUGCAGAUUAUUUGGGUAACAGGUUAGGUUGUUGACAUGUUCCAUAUGCAACCUUGAUAUGAAAUAAAAUAAUUUCCUUUAUAUGAAUAAAGAAAUCUUGACAUAAAAGAAAUUGUAUUCCUUGACAUAAGAAUAAAAGAACCUUAACAUAUUAAAAUUUCAACUUUGAAAAAAAAAAAAUAACAAAAAACAUCCUUGACAUAUGUGUAAAUUAAAUUUAAAAGCAUAUAAAACAACAUUGACAUAUAUCAUACUUAAGCUUAACAUAUAUUGAAUAUAAUCUUGAAAAAACAAUGAGUUAACCUUCACAUAUGUUUAACCUAACCUUGACUAAAGUGGAAGAAACGUUUUAACAUAUGUCAUAUUAAUAAGAUUCCUACAUUGAUAGAAAUAAGGUCUACUUAACAUAUGCAUAUGUCAAGCUAGCUUUUAUCAUUUCUUGACACUGGCAUAGACGACAUAUGUGAAUACUGAUCUACCUUAACAGAUAUACCUUAUCUUGACGAUGAAAAACUGUCAAUGAAGACCUUUUUUCUUGUAGUGAAGGACACCAAUUAGCAAUAAAACACUCAGAAGAUAUUCAAAAAAGAAUUUUAACAAUAACCUCAGAAUUAGGUUCACAACCACCCUUAAAUAAUCAUCAAUUCAAUUUUGAUAAUAAUUCAAUUUUUGCAUCACCCUUCAAAAUUCCAAGAACUAAAGAUGAAUAAAGUCCCAUAAUUUAAAAAGAUAUUAGACAAGUUCAACAACAAUUAAAUUAUACAAAUCAUUCUCUUCAACAUUUAAAUCAACAAACAACAAAAAUUUCUCAAUUUUUGUUUUCUUCUACCCCAAGAGGGAGGAUAGGAGAAACAUCAUCAAAAUUAAAUUUUUCUUCAAAAGUUUCUUCAACUUUAUCAUCAUCAUCAUCAUCAUCAUCUUCUAAGUCUCUAGAUCAACCUUUCAUUAUUCCUAUAAAUGCUGCAAAAUCAAAUAUUCAAUUAGCAACACCAACAGAAACAAUGUUAAAAGAAAUACAACUUAGAUUAGAUAAACUUAAUAUUAAUGGUAUUAAUCAAAAUAAGAAUCAAAUUCAAACUAUAACAAAAGAAAAAUAAGAAAUUAAUAAAAUAGAAGAAUAAUUCAAAAUGUCUCCUGAUUCAAUAGUAAAACCCCUUACAACAGUCAAUGCAAUUUCUAAUAAUUUUGUAAGUAGAAAAAAUUAUUAUUCAAAACCCUCUUUUCCUAAUGUCCAAUUAGAAGAAAGAAAUUAUCAAUUAGCUGCUAGUUAUGAUGGUAGUAGUUUUUAUGAAUGGAAUAUAGAUGGAAUGAGUGAACAUCAAAUAAUCAAUUUGCUUCAUGAAAUGAUGAUGGCUGCUAAUGCUUAUAGAAUCAAGACUAGUAAUUCUGACUUUCAUGCUGUCAGUGCCUUGGUCAUAGGAUUCACUAGUUUGCUUAAAGAUUGGUGGGAUCAUUAUUUGAGUCAAAAUGAUAGAGAAUACAUAUUAAAUGCAAAAAAAGACAAUAAUCAAAGAAGAAGGAACAUCAGUUCAAACUUAUGAAGAAGAUGUUAUCAAUACUUUAAUAUUUGCAAUAACAAAACAUUUUGUAGGAGAUCCAAUCCAUUUUCAAGAACGAACCUCUGAAAUCCUCAACAAUCUUAGAUGUCCAACACUUCAAGAUUUUAAGUGGUAUAAACACAUGUUUUUAGUCAAAGUUAUGUCAAGACCAGAUUGUGGAAGUCAUUCUUGGAAAGAAAAAAUUAUAUCAGGAUUACCCACUUUAUUUGUAGAAAAAGUUAAACAAAGAAUAAGAAAUAUUCACAAUGGUAGAGUUCCUUAUGAGUCAUUAACAUAUGGAGAAUUAAUUACUUUUGUCAAUAAUGAAGGUUUAACACUUUGUACAGAUAUGAAAUUAAAGAGUCAAAUGAAAAAAGAAAAACAAGAUAGUAAAAAAGAAUUAGGAAAAUUUUGUUCAUAUUAUGGUAAUGAUACAAUAGUUGCCCCUUCAAAAAGAAAAAAUAAACAAAAUAAUAUAAAAGGUAAAAAAAACCCUCAAUAGAGUCAAAAUUCCAAAAGAAGUUUGUAAAAUAUACUCCUAAUAAAUCAAAAUCUUCAAAUAAAUCAACUUUAAAAAAGAAAACACCUACAUGUUAUAAAUGUCGAAAAGUAGGUCAUUAUUCAAAAUAUUGUCAAUUAGAAAAUAAGAUCAAUUCAUUAGAAAUAAGUAAUAAACUAAAAAAUUUAAUGAUAGAAUUAAUGAUUGAUAAAGAAAAUGGAGAAUCAAGUGAAAAUUAUAAAUCAGAAGAAGAUAAUUAAAUCUUGAUAACAUAAGAAAUAUCAAGUGAAGAGUCAAGUCUAGAAGAAGAAUCCGAUAAUAAAAAAGAUUGUGACGGUAUUUGUGCAUGCUCAUAUAAAUCAAUAAAUGUGAUUUCAAAAAAUUCAAAAACUUCCUUUAAUUUUCUUAUUCGCAAUUAUGUGCCCCUCAUGAAUUCAAUAUAUUUUCAAUUUUGGUAUGCUAAAGACAAACACAUUAGAUAUCUGCUUUAUGCUUCAAAAGAGGUACUAAAAUCUUAUUUUUCUCUACAAAUGGAGCAAUAACGAAUUAAGUUUGGGAAAUUUACUCUUCCAGUAUUUCCUAAAAGUAAUCUGUCCUUUUGGAUUCAUAAAUAUAUAUAAGGUUUAGACAGAUCACAAAAAUGCAUUUUAGACAACCUCUAGAAUGCAAAAAGUGAUGUUCAAAAGUUAGAAGCUUUAAAUGUUUUAUCUUUUCAUUUUAAAUAGAUAAAUAAUAAUUUAGACAGUUUUUCUAACCCUUCAAGUUCUGAUAUACAUUGCAUCCCUAUAGAUACAGAUCUUGAAAGCUUUAAUUGUAGGAAAAUUGCAAAAGAAUCUAAAGCUACAUUUUCAAAAUCUUUUCAAAAAGAAUUUCAAAAUGAAUUUUCAACACUUUCUGAUGAAAGCCUAGAAUGUCAACUUUCAAGAUUUUCAUUUUUCAAGCAAAAGAUUUUACAUCUUCCUCAAGAAGUUAGAUAGACAAUCAGUCAAAAGGUUCAAGCUACAAGGGAAGCAAAGUAAGAGCAUAUCAUGAAAUUGCUUGUUGACUGUAGCACUUUUGGAAUUAUUAUUCAAGGGAUGAGUUUUACUUGGAUUUCUCACUAUGACAACACUUAUAAUGAUUGUCCAAAAAUUGAUCCCUUGCGUAAGGAAAUUCCAUUAGAAAGGUAUGACUGUAAGUGUGCUCUUACUUACAGUAUUUGCAAAGCCAACAUUGACUUAGACAGUUAUAAGUCAAUAGUCAUCAAAUUCAAUAAUGAGUCAAUAGAGUUAACUCCAUCUCUCCUCAUGGAUUAUGGAGUUCUUUAUCAACUAAUUUUCUCUCAUCCUGAUCAAACUGACAGAUUUGGAAGAAAAUUAGCAGUUUGUAUUUUAAAUGUCUUCAUCAAAGAUUUCAAAUCAGUUGAACUCAUUAUAGAAAGCAAGCCUCUUGAAUGGUCUACUGAUGGAAGAGUUUACUCUACUCAACAUUUCAUACUGCUCAAAGCCAAUCAGAGAAAAUAUCAGUUGUUUGGUAUAGAGAUCCCUUGGCUCUGUACUAAAUUUGGCAUCAAAAAACAAAUCAGACAUUGGAGAUCAAGAAUGAUUGCAAGAGACCUUGAUUUUGAGAUUUAUAGUUCUUCUAACUAUAAUCUCGUUACUGAAGACAAUAUUCAAAAAAUCAUCUUUACAACUAAUUUUCCAAAAGUCCCUCUUUUGUUUCAAACUCAAUUUACUUAUCUUGUUGAUAAGUACAAAAAGGAGUAUGUCUUCGAAAAUGAAGUCCGACAAAAUUUUGAAAAAUAUCUCUUAGAAAUGCUUAGGGAAGAGAUAUCCAAAAUCUUUUGUACAACUGUAUCUUUGUAUAUUUGUGUCUUUGUAUUUAUCUAGUAAAAAAAAAAAAUUGUGAGAAGUAUGUAAAAAAAUGAAUUGUGAAGAAUGUAAAAAAAAAAAAAAAAAAAAUUAUCAUCAUUAUUAUAAACUUCCUCAAUCCUAUUUCUAAUGACUCAAACUAAGAGAUUGAUUACCCUAUGCAUUGUAUUUAGGAACUUAAUUGUAGUAAGGGAAGAGAAACAACUUAUAUUCAUAUGCAUAGUUGGAGGGUCUAAAAAUAUGCCGCUUACUAUAACAUGAUUCAAACAUUUUAGUAAAAUCUGCGUCCAACAAAACAACAAUUCAAUUUCUUUUGUAAAUUUAAAUCAUUAUUUCCAAUUCAAGAAUUUAAGAAAUCAUAUAAUAAAAUAUAAGUAUAAAAAGAUUAAUUGCUAACAAAUAUGUACCUAAAUGGAGAUGGCCUUACAUUAUGUUGCAAUGAAAUUCAUCUUACCUUAUUUUUGUAUGAUGGUUGUUAUUUUGAAACCACAUCACCCUCUGCAAAAGAGUUGAAUUCAUUGUGAUGAUAAUCAUAACACACCAAAAAUACAAUGAAAUAAAAAUAAAUAAAUACAUAAACAAGGAAGAAAAUAAAGGAAAAAUAAUGGGAAGUGAUGUAAGAUAUUUCACCUUUUCAACGAUGAACUCCAUUUGUUUCCAUCUUCCUUUUAAGACGAGCCACAUUCACUGCAGUGAAAACAUAUAGCCUAUCUCUGGUUUCAUCAAUGAACCGAAAAUAUGCCUGCCUCCAAGACUUCUUUAGAGCCAAACUACCACAUACAGCCCAAAAUCCCACCGGAAAGCCCAAUCCCAUGCUUAUGAAGAACCAUGACAUGUCCCAUUCACCUUCAUCUUCCUCCUCAUCUUUGUGAUCUUGAUCAUUUAGAGUGGAGCAGUUGGUUGACAAUGGAGGCCCAUAAAGUCCUGGGUUCGCCUCAUAAAUGGAUGGAUCAUUGAAUGUCGAGAACUGGUUGGUUGUUGGAAUUGGUCCUGACAGGCGGUUAUGCGAUAGGUUCAAAUGGUUCAAUGAGGUUAUAGAAGACGUGCUCGGAGGAAUUGGGCCUGACAGGCAGUUCCAUGAGAGGUCAAGAGUUUCUAGCCCUUGCAUGGCUCCAAUCUUCUCAGGUAUCUUUCCAGUCAACUGGUUUCGGGACAAAUUCAAGGCACCCAGGGUCGAGAGAUUUGUGAUCUCUUUUGGGAUCUCUCCCCAAAUGUUAUUGCUAGAAAGAUCUAUCAAAUUCAAAAUUGGCAAUAUGCUAUCAAAUUCCAUAUUUUGUCCCUUUACAACUAGCUCCAUGCUCUCCGAAUAGGAGCCAUGAGAUUCGAGGUUGUCAAAAUUUCUGUUUAAUAAGGCCACAAAACUUAAAGCAGUUAAAUUGCCUAAGCAUUGUGGGAUGAAUCCUGAUAAAUUGUUCACUGCAAGAUCCAAAAUGUGGAGAUGAGAAAGCCAACACAAUUGCUCAGGAAUAUCUCCCGUCAACAUGUUGCCUCGUAGACGCAUCUGCUCCAGUGAUGGCAUUCUUUCUCCAAUCCAUUUGGGUAUCUCACCCGAAAACCUGUUAUUCCCCAGAUCAAGGGAGGACAGCCCUGUGCAGUUUUGUAAACUUGGAGUGAGUUCCCCAGUAAGAUUGUUGUCACCCAAUAUCAACUGAGUAAGUGAAGAUUUUGAACACAUCCAACUCGGAAUCCCACCAGACAGUUUGUUCUUGGAUAGGUCUAUGGUGUCAAGAUGCUGCAAAUCACUCCAAUUCUUUGGAAUCUUUCCAGAUAAUUGAUUGUUUGAGAGAUCAAUUACUCGCAAAUCCUUUAGUUUACUCAUUGAUGAAGGAAUGCUGCCAUUUAACAAGUUACUAGAAACAUCGAGGACUUCCAAACUUGAUAAGUCCCCGAUGUUCAAGGGAAUUGGACCUGAAAAUGAAUUGUUUCCGAGAAAGAGCCAUGUCGCAUUAAACCAAAGUGGUAAUCGGCCCACCAAGCGGUUGAAGCUUAAAUCCACCAGGACUGAUGCUGGGCUAAAGGAUAAUGAGUUGGGAAGCUUUCCAUACAAUUGGUUUCUAGAAAGAUCUAACCACAAAAAAUAUAGUUUCCAAAGCCAUUCUGGUAUUGUAUCUGAAAUCCCCACAUUUUUUAGGGUUAUGAAGUGAAGUCUUUUUUGAGUUCUAAUCCAGUUAGGGAAUUUGAGAGAUACAUUGCAGUUGGAAAUAUCGAUAGACAUGAGACUGAAGGGAGGAAUCCAUUCAGGUCUCACAUGAAAACGGAAAGACUGCUUUGUGGGUGAUAAGUGUGAAGAGAAAUAUUCCAGUUUUGUAAGAUUACUGAAAUGAAUUUCAGACAUUACCCCUUCCCAAGAAUUCCAAUUAAGAUACAACACAGUCAGCUCUCUAAGUUGUCCGAUACUUUUUGGAAUCGUCCCAUUCAUUAGAUUGUUUGACAAGUCAAGUCUCUUCAUCCGCAGCAAGUUUCCAAUCCAUGUUGGAAUUGGACCUGAGAUGGAGUUUUCCCUCAGAUUAAGACUCUCUAAGUUGGUAAGGUGUUGAAUUGAAUUGGGGAAGGGACCAACAAAACUAUUAUAGCUCAAGUCCAGGGAUUUUAAAUUCUUAAAGAGCCCUAAUGAAUCUGGCAACUGACCACCGAAUCGAUUACCACCCAAGUGUAACCGUUCCAAGGAAUUAUUAGCGCAUGUCGAUAAACCAUUCACCAAUUCAAUUCCUUCACUUCCAAUACUAGCAUCAUUUAAAUAAAGAUCCGUGAGGGUGCUGAUGUUAAACAACCAGCCAGGAAAGGUAGUGCUGAGAUUGUUGUGGGAGAGGUCAAUGACCAAAAGAGAAGUCAAAUUAACAAACGAAAUGGAGUGAGGGAAGUCACCGAGUUCACAAUGGGACAAAUGUAAUUCUAACAAAAAUGGAAGCAUGUUUACAGCUUGCAUCCAAUUUGUGGUUGCUUUACUAAGGUUCACAUUCCCCAGAUCAAGGUAUUUUAAAGAAGAAAGACCAGAAAGCCAAUUCAAAUUAUGAACCCUCAUUAAUGGAGCACGAGAGUAGUAAUCUCCACUAAGAUCAAGAUAACAUAACUGUGACAAAUUUCCAAGAUGGGGAGGAAUCAUUCCACCAAAUGCUGCAUGAGAGAGAUUAAGGUAUCUCAACCUUUCAAAUGAGCCCAAGAAAUUUGGAAUUGGAAUUCCUUGAAAAUCAUUAAAACUUAGGUCCAAGUAAUUUAAAUGUUUCAAGUCAAGUAAGGAAUCACUUAUCUCACCACCCAAACCACCAUAUUUGAGGUCAACCUUGACAACAUGCCCUGUUUGGUUGUUGCAAUCCACACCUUUCCACUUGCAGCAAUCUGCACCAACCCAGGAAGAAAGCGUACGUGAAGGUUCUUUCAGUCCAUUUUUGAAUUCUAGAAGCGCUUUCCGCUCUACCUCAAUGCAGCCCUUGUUCAUACCACCAUCAAUGGAAUUGAUAAUAGUAGCUUGAGCUAGGAGAAGCUCGAGAAACAGAGAAAGGAGAAAAAGAGUAAGAAGUAGAAGGGUGGUUUUCCAACUUGCCAUUUGAUGAAUGCAAAGUUGCAAAGUUAUUAGUGGGUGCUAUAUAAAUAAUUUUGGUCUAAUUUAGUCAACUAUUUUAAGUCUUUUGGCCGCCAUAAAUAUAGAAGAAAUUAUCAAGUUCAAUCACAAUCGGAUCACAUAUCUCUUCCAUCCCUGAGUAAAUUAAUUCAAGACACUAAUUACCAAGUUUUUGGUCCAAAGAAAAAAAGAAUUUUUUUUAUUUCUAAUUUACACUCAUCUAAUUAUUAACUAGAAUAAAAAAUUUCAAUUAAUUAAAAAAAUAAAAUUUAGAUUUUAAUAUUUUUCCCAAAUUAAAAAUUCAAAACUUAAUAAAUUAAUCUCAACUAUGUUAUUCAUAAAUCCCAAGAUAGGUUACAUAAAGAUAAGUUUUAAUUAAGAAAAUUUCUAACAUUUUAUUAACUACUAAGUAUAAUUAGAAAUCCUAAUUAUUAUGUAAUUAUCAAUUUUCUACUAAUUAUAUAAUUAAUUAUUAUGAAAUUUUAUUAUACUAAUAAAUUAUGAUAUUUUGGUAUAUUUUAAAAUAUAUUAAAUUACCAUUUUUAUAUUAUUAAUUUUAAAAUCAAAAUAAAAAAUAUAAUAACUAAUUUUUAGAUAUUUUUAACAUGUGAACAUAAAUAAGUAUAACAUUUUAAACAUUAAUAAAAACAAGCAAUAUAACACUUAAUAAUAUUUAUAUAAUAAUAAGAAAUAAACAACCUAAACACUUAAUCAAUCUACUAAAUUUAAGUCAAAGUUCCGUCUAUUCAAAUAUAUAUAUAUAAAAAAUUAAAUACCAUCUUACACUUAUUAUACAUUACUCAAGCCAUUUAUAUAUGUAAUAAAGAAUUUCAAUAUAUAUAAAUUUUUAAAUAAUUUUCAUGAUAUUUUAUUUUCGUUUAUAGGCUACAAUCAACAUGGAGGAGGAAGCUUCAAGUAGCUUUCUUCAAUUAUUUAAAGUUAGUGACUGUCCAUAGAAGAAAAUUUUGACACGAAACUAAAAAGAAAAACAAUUUUCACACAAGUCUAAAAAUGUCUUUUAGAGAAAAUUAAUACAUCAUGUAUUAAAACAUUAUUUGAAUUUCUCCUCUUCUUGAUUGUUUUCUUAGACAAUGACUUCAAGGACUUUUGUGACAUGUUGAAUGUUGACUGUUGACUAUUGACUAUUGACUAUUGACUUGUCUAUUUGGUGUGAGGUAGGAAAAAAACAAGAAGUUGCAUUUUUUUGAAUGAAAACAUUUAUUUUUUCUAAAUAAAAAAUUCUUUUUUUUAAAUAAAAAAUUUCCUUAUUUAACCAAACCGAUUUUAACCAAUUCAUUGUAGCCUAAUUAGUUAUGUUGACUGUUGUUGACUAUUGACUAUUGACUAAAACAAAGUCCUUGUCAAUUUGGUGUGAGUUAGGAAAAAAAAAGGAAGUUGCAUUUUUUUUUUAAUGAAAACAUUUAAUUUUUCUAAAUAAAAAAUUCUUUUUUUUUUUAAAUAAAGAAAUUUCCUUAUUUAACCAAACCGAUUUUAACCCAUUCAUUGUAGCCUAAUUAGUUCUGUUGACUGUUGACUAUUGACUGAAACAAAGUCCUUAUCAAUUUGGUGUGAGUGAGGAAAAAAAAAGGAAGUUGCAUUUUUUUUAAUGAAAACAUUUAUUUUUUCUAAAUAAAAAAUUCUUUUUUUUUAAAUAAAAAUUUUCCUUAUUUAACCAAAUCGAUUUUAACCCAUUCAUUGUAGCCUAAUUAGUUCUGUUGACUGUUAACUGAAACAAAGUCCUUGUCAAUUUGGUGUGAGUUAGGAAAAAAAAAAGAAGUUGCAUUUUUUUUAAUGAAAACAUUUAUUUUUUCUAAAUAAAAAAUUCUUUUUUUUUUAGGUAAAAAAUUUCCUUAUUUAACCAAACCGAUUUUAACCAAUUCAUUGUAGCCUAAUUAGUUCAGUUUUUCAUUUAAAGACGUUUGGUUUAGCUUGUAAAAAAAAAAAAAAAACACAAGGUUAAAUAAGUGGUAUUUAUUUUUUUGUCUAAAAUCUGAAUGGAAUAUUAUUAAGUAUUUAGGUCAUUUAUUUUUUUUAUUAAUGCUAAAUAUUUUUAAGUGUUAAAUUACUUGUUUUUAGUAAUGUAUAAAGGCUUAAAAUUAUUUAUUUUUACACAUUAAAAUAACUAUAAAAUUAGUUAUUAUUAUUAUUAUUUUAAAAUUAAUAAUUUAAGAAAUAGUAAUUUAAUAUAUUUACAACUAUCUCAAAAUAUUAUAAUUCAUAACCAAAACAAAAAUUAUAUAAUAAUUAAUUAUGUAAUUUAUAGAAAAUUAAUAAUUAGAUAAUUAUUAGGAUUUUUAGUUAUGCUUGGUUGUUAAGAAAAUGAUAAAAAUUUUCUAAGUUAAAAUUUAUUUUUAUUUAAUAUAUUUUCAGAUUUAUGAAUAUUGUUGAGAUUAAUUAUUAAUUUUUUUCUUUUAAAUUUGGGAAAAAUAAGAAAGACUAAAAUUUUAGUUUUCAAAAUUAAUUGGAAUUUUUUUUUAUUCUAAUGAAUAAUUAGAUAAGUGUAAAAUCAAGGACAUGAACGACCCCAAUUUUUUAUAAUGACUAAUUAUUCAAAGUGUAGAAACAUAAUAAUUAGAUAAUUAUUAGGAUUUCUAAUUAUGCUUGGUUGUUAAAAAAUUUCUAUGUUAAAACUUAUUUUUAUAUAACUAUCUUCAAAUUUAUGAAUAUUGUUGAAAUUAAUUUAUUAAUUUUUAUUUUUAAUUUGGGAAAAAUGUAAAAGUCUAAAUUUUGCUUUUUAAAUUAAUUGGAUUUUUUUUAUAUUUUAGUUAACUAUUAAAUGAGGGUAAAUUAGAAAUCUAAGUUCAAGGACAUUGCCAACCAAACUGACUUCAAACCUAACCAAUCUAAUCUUAUUACUUUUUAUUUCCAUUUAAACAUGUUUGUUUCUAUUUAAAAAAAAAAAAUUGAUUACAUUGGUUUAGUGUUCAUGUACCAAUCAAAGCUAAACCAAUCGAAUUUAUCUAUUAUUUAUCAAAAAAUUAAAAAUAAAAAUGAUUACAUUGGUUCAGUAUUCAUUUCAAAACAACGAACCAAUAGAAUCUGAUAUAAUCGACUUAAAAUGUGCAAAUUUUGAAUUUUCAAAAUUUGAAGUUAUUUUUCAACUUCAUAUUUUGCAUCUCAUAAUUUACUAUAAAUUUAUGAAGUUAUUUUUUAAAAAUAUUUUAUUUUUUCAAAAUAAAUUCACUAAAUAUUAUCUCACUUGUAUUUGUGGUUCACUAAAUUUUUAAUAAUCAAAUUAAUAAAUUUAUAAAAGAAAAAUAUUAUAUUUUCUCCAUUUUGUUCACUUGAUAAACAUAUCUACAAAAAUGUCAAGCGGGUGUUUGAAAUUUACCUAUUUUUUUUGUUGUGUAAUAUUGAUUGUAUUUAUAAAGCAUUAUAAAUCCCAAGAAAGUCCACAGACACAUAAAUUAUUAUGAAUGAAAUGAAAUUAUUAAUUUAAAUUUAGUCUUUAUAGUGAAAAGUUAAAAUAAGCGAAAUGAAUUUGAAGUAGUUUAUAAAAAUCAUUUAUUAAUUUUAAAUUUAUGUUAUAUUUUUCUUCAUUUAUUCUUUCAUUUUAUUUUUUAUUUUUUUUUUGUAUUUUUUUUCCUUGUAUUUUCCCCAAAUUUUGUCCAAACCAAACAUAAACUUGGAAAAUAUGUCAAACCAAUACUUAGUGUUUGAGACUUAGAAAUUUUUUUAUAAGGAUUGGAUCAAGAUUCAAUCACGAUUAGACCACACAUAGCCCUUUUGCCCAUCCAAGAAAAAGAAAAAAAUAUUUUAUUUAUUUCUUUUUGUUAGCCCAAGGGUUCUCCUAAUCGGGUUUUGAUGAUAAUAAACCAUGGUUAAGUGACUAAUUGUUUCAAAUGGUAAAGAAUCUCAGGUAUAAUUUCGGAAAUUCAUACAAGGGCCAAAUAGAUACAAGACCGAGACUAUUGGAAGUCCCUUGAUCAUAGGAAAUGAAUGUAAGAUGCAUGGGUGCACUUAAGGUUUUCAUACCAUUUCAUGCAUCUUUGAAAAACUCAGUUUAUCCUUUAAACUUUCAAAUUCAUUCAAACCCGAUCUUUAUCAAAUGUACCUUAGGCAAAAAAUUUUAAAACUUGCAUAUUUAUUCACCUAAAGACCUUGCCUAAGUAGUAGAAAAGAAAGGAAUUUAAAAAGGAAGGUUUUCGGGGCCAAAAGGCUCAACCGGUCGAGGCUAUGGCCAACCGGCUCAAUCGGUUGGGGAACCGGUCGACUGGUUGCCCUUGUUCGAUCGAGGUUCGGUCGAAGAGUGUCAAAAACACUCUCUCUCAUCCAGUAGCCUUCUCUUCCCGGGUGAGGUUCAUACCGUUCCCGGUUGAGGUCCGGUCGAGGUAACGGUAACCUGUCAAAGCAUUUAAUGCCCAACGGCUAGUGAUCCGGUCAACCCCUAACUCUACUGAUCGAGGGUACCUUUUGCUGUUUUUGACUCCCGAGCUUAGAAACCUAUAAAUUGAGAGCUCUACUUCAUUUAUGAAAAAGAGAACACUUGCAAUCAAUUAUCCACCUACCUGUUCUUGAUCAAAAAGCUCUCAUUUCCUUCUUGGUGCAUUAAAUCAUCAUUUGCAUACUCCUUAGUGCACCUUUAUAAGUCAUCCUAACCUUGUUUUGUAUUCGAUCUAUCUUUGAGCUAGGUUGAGUGUUUUAUUCUUGUAAAAGUCAAGUGUUUAAGCCUUCAAGAGGUGUGAUUUUUGAAGAGAUUGUGUAAGAGCCCAUUGAAGUCGGAAUCCAAGUGUAAGAAGAUUAGAAGCUUGGUUGAAACUUCAAGUUAGUGGAACCCUCACUUGAUUAGGAGAUUGAGGAGAGUGGACGUAGGGAAGGAAGUGCCGAACCACUAUAAAACCCGAGUUUGAGUUCUCUAACUCUAUCUCUUUACUUUCAUUUAUAUUGUGCUUGAACUUGUUGUUAUUGAAAAGAUUUUUUAAAAACCCAAUCCACCUCCCUCUUGGGUGUUUUUCUUAAUUAAGCAUAGCCUUUAUUUUCUCAAUUGGUAUUAGAGUUAGACCUCUUGUUUAAGACCUAAUAGUCUAAGAGGAAAUGGCUAUUCCAUCAAGCUCUUCUCACACUGAAAUUUUUGCAAAACAUAGAGCUCCAUUCUUUACGGGAACCGAUUAUCUCUAUUGGAAAACCAAAAUGACUUGGUUUUUACAAUCAACCGAUUUAGAUGUAUGGGAUGUCAUUGAAGAUGGUUCAACUUUUCCUACUAAGCUUGUUGAUGGAGUUUUAGUUCCAAAACCCAAGCAAGAAUGAAAUGAGCUUGAUAGAAGAAAUUUUCAAUUAAAUGCUAAGGUUGUUUUUACUUUGCAAUGUGCUAUGGAUAAAAAUGAAUACAAUAGAAUUUGUCAAUGCAAAUCAACUAAAGAAAUUUGGAGAUUCCUUGAAAUAACUCAUGAAGGAACAAAUCAAGUAAAAGAGUCAAAAAUUAAUUUACUCGUUCAUAAUUAUGAAUUGUUUUCAAUGAAAGAAAAUGAGACUAUUGUUGAGAUGAUUACUAGGUUCACCGACAUUGUCAAUGGUCUUGAAGCUUUGGGAAAGACCUAUAAGGAAUCUGAGAAGGUAAUGAAGAUAUUGAAGUCACUUCCAUCAAAGUGGCAUACUAAAGUCACCGCAAUUCAAGAAGCAAAAGACUUGACUAAGCUACCUAUGGAAGAACUCAUAGGGUCAUUGAUGACAUAUGAGAUUAACUUGGCAAAGAAGCUUCAAGAGGGUGAAGACAAAAAGAAGAAGAGCAUAGCUCUCAAAGCUACAACCAAGGAAGAAGAAGAUAUUGAAGAAGAAAAACCAAGUGAGGAAGAUGAUGAUUUAGCCCUCAUCACAAGAAAGCUUAACAAAUACAUGAGGAAUGAAAGGUUUAGAGGAAGAAAAUUUACCUCUAGAAGAGACCUUUCUAAAAAGGAAUCAUCAUUUCAUGGUGACAGGAAGAAAUGGGAAAAAAAAAGAGACUUGGGGUGUUUCAAAUGCAAAAAACCGGAACACAUCAAAUAUGAUUGUCCUCUCUACAAAAGUGAAGCCAAGAGAAGAAUGAAAAAGGCAAUGAUGGCCACUUGGAGUGAUAGUGAAGAAUCCUCCAAAGAAGAAAAGGAGAAAGAAGUGACAAACAUGUGCUUCAUGGCAAUAGAUGAUCUUGAUGAGGUAAACUCUAACUUUAGUGAUGAAGAUAUGCAUGAUGUUUUUGAAGAAUUAUACGAGGAUUUUAAAAAACUUAGUUUGAAAAAUAAUUCUCUCAAAAAGAAAAUUCAAGAACUUCAAAAAGAACUUGAAGAAGUGAAAGAAAAAUUUUCAAUUGAUGAAAUAUCUAAAACUCAUCUUGAAAAAGAAAAUGAAAUUUUGAGAAGUGAAAAUGAGGUUUUAAAAAGGAAAAAUGAAUGGUUGACCUCUUCUCUUUCAAUUUGUUAUUGUGGACAAAAAUCCUUUGAAAUGAUCUUAACUAGCCAAAAAUGUGUUUUUGACAAAAAAAGGACUAGAAUUCAAAUCCUCAAAGAAUCAAAAGUAUUUUAAAAACUAUUUUGUAAAAGAAUCCUCAAGUACAAGUGUAGACCCUCAAUUUUGUCCCUUUAGCACACGUCUUUAAGUUCGUUUUCAGUGCUUCAAAAUAGUUCCUUGGUGGCCCAUGGCUACUCAUACCACUUACCUUUUUCUGAGUCACUUCGGAGAUUUUGGUUGAGGGAUUAUUUGAUCCCUUAUUGUGACCCUUGGCAGCCCUAACUUAGACUUAGGCUUUUCUUGUUUUUUUAGGAUAGCUUUUAGAUACACUUGGCCCAUUAGGCACUACCCUAGGCCCACUUAGUCUCACCUUAGGCCCGUUUAGGCACACUAGGCCUACGAAGACUUUUAUUUUAUUUUAUUUUAUUUUAUUUAUUUAUUUAUUUAUUUUGUUUUUAAUUUUAAUUUUAUGAUUAUCAUUCACUUUUUAUUGGUUAUCUUCCUCUUUAUAUUAUUUUCCUUAACUUAUUUAUUUAUUUAUUAUUUUUACCAUUUUUUUAAUUUAUUUACUUAUUUAUCUAUUCAUGCAAUUAUUUAACUUCAAAAAUUUCAUGUUUUUGCAAGGAAACUUACCAUUGGAGUUUAAGGAAGACGGGACUCUCCUUGGAAGGUUUUGGAGGGGAAUUUGAAAUUGGGAAGAUUGUUUUUGAUUGGAGGAUUUAAAAAAAGAAGAGAAGAAGAAAGGAAGGAGGAGAAUUUUCCUUUUUGGAAACAAAUUUAGGUCUUGAGGGGUGAUAUAUAUAGGUGAGAAAAGGAAAAGAAUAGGAGAUUUUUUCUUGGGGGCAGAGCACACGGAAUUUUGGAAAAAAGCAAGGGACUUCGAACGGAGAUCGGGUUGUCAUUUAAUCAUCAAGAGAGGAUUUUCUCUUUCACUUCAAAGGUUAGUUUUCUAUAUAGUACUUUUAUUUAGCCUAGAUUUUUAUUUUUUUAUUUUUUUUUAUUUUUUAUUUUUUAUUUUUUGGAAAUUUUAGUUUUUGAUUAAUUCUUUGUGUUAAAGUGUAUAUUAUUUUAUUUUUAAAUCCCCAAUUAGUUUAAUUCUAAUCUAUCUUUUAGUUUAAGUUUGUUAAUGAUCUUAAUUCUUAAGUUUAAAUAAUCAUAUCGAAUAAAGUUUGUAUUUUUAAUCCCAAUUAGUUUGAUUUUAACUUGUUUUUUUAGUUUAAAUGUAUUUUGUUGAUUUUAAUUCUUAAGUUUAAAUAAUUGUAUUGAAUAAAGUUUGUAUUUUUAAUCCCAAUUAGUUUGAUUUCAAUUCAUUUUUAAUUUAAAUGCAUUAGUUGAUCUUAAUUCUUUGUUUUGAAUAAUCACGUUAAAUAAAGUUUGUAUUUUUAAUCCCAAUUAAUUUGAUUUCAAUUCGUUUUUAGUUUAAAUACAUUUUAUUGAUCUUAAUUCUUAAGUUUAAAUAAUCAUAUCGAAUAAAGUUUGUAUUUUUAAUCCCAAUUAGUUUGAUUUUAAUUUGUUUUUUAGUUUAAAUGUAUUUUGUUGAUCUUAAUUCUUGACUUUAAAUAAUCACGUUAAAUAAAGUUUAUGUUUUCAAUCUCAAUUAGUUUGAUUCCAAUUCGUUUUUAGUUUAAAUACAUUUUAUUGAUCUUAAUUCUUAAGUUUAAAUAAUCAUAUCGAAUAAAGUUUGUAUUUUUAAUCCCAAUUAGUUUGAUUUUAACUUGUUUUUUAGUUUAAAUGUAUUUUAUUGAUCUUAAUUCCUAAGUUUAAAUAAUCAUAUCGAAUAAAGUUUGUAUUUUUAAUCCCAAUUAGUUUGAUUUUAACUUGUUUUUUAGUUUAAAUGUAUUUUGUUGAUUUUAAUUCUUAAGUUUAAAUAAUUGUAUUGAAUAAAGUUUGUAUUUUUAAUCCCAAUUAGUUUGAUUUCAAUUCAUUUUUAAUUUAAAUGCAUUAGUUGAUCUUAAUUCUUUGUUUUAAAUAAUCACGUUAAAUAAAGCUUGUAUUUUUAAUCCCAAUUAAUUUGAUUUCAAUUCGUUUUUUAGUUUAAAUAUAUUUUGUUGAUCUUAAUUCUUGACUUUUAAUAAUCACGUUAAAUAAAGUUUGUGUUUUUAAUCUCAAUUUGUUUGAUUUCAAUUCGUUUUUUAGUUUAAAUACAUUUUGUUGAUCUUAAUUCUUAAGUUUAAAUAAUCAUAUCGAAUAAAUUUUGUAUUUUUAAUCCCAAUUAAUUUGAUUUUAAUUUGUUUUUAGUUUAAAUGUAUUUUGUUGAUUUUAAUUCUUUACUUUAAAUAAUCACGUUAAAUAAAGUUUGUGUUUUUAAUCUCAAUUAGUUUGAUUUCAAUUCGUUUUUAGUUUAAAUGCAUUAGUUGAUCUUAAUUCUUAAGUUUAAAUAAUUAUGUUAGAUAAAGUUCAUGUUUUUAAUCCCAAAAUAGUUUAUUUUUAAUUUAUUUGUUAGUUUAAAUAUGUAUGUGAUUUGAAUACAUUAGUUUAAUUAAUCCCGUUAGAUAAAGUUUAAUCUUGAUUUAAUUUAUUUUUUUAGUCUAGAGGCAUUUAUGUGUUUAGUUAAUCUUAUGUUAAUUAUGGAUUGUUAUUCUCAAUUUACGCGCUUCUUGAAUCAUUGUUGCUAAUUCUUGAUGGAUAUUUCAUUAGCUUAUUUGAUCUAAAUAUUAAUAAUUUAUUGCUUUGAUAGUUUCCUUUUUGUUCAAAGGCCAUUGGAAAAUCAUGAAGAUUGGCCUCUACCAUCACCAUUAUCAUUUUUGUUAAUUACUAAAAAAAUUUUACUUUGAGGUUUCAUUUUUGUUUUGUUGGGUAUUUUAUUUCUUAUAUUUUAUUCUUUCCAAAUUAAUUCCUUUUAUUUUAAAAUAAAAUACUUUUCUCAAAAAAAUCAUUUUAAAAAUCUAUUUCAAAAACUCAUUUAGAGUCCUCAGGAUCAAAAUCUCUUUUUUUUUUUAUUAUUAUUUAAAAAUAAUAUGCAACCAUAUCUUGUUCGGUUUGCAUCCUUCUCGGUUUUCAACAAAAAUUUUGGUUUUGAACAAAAACACGAAUCAAAGCUUGUGGUCCCAAAUAAUGGGAUAAUUCUGGGCUAAAUUUGUGUAUAUUAAUUUGGGGAAUUGGUGAAACCCCUACAUAAGAAAAUCUUUUCAAAAAUUAUUUUUGUUGCCAUUUUUGUCACUUGUUGAAAUUAUGUCUAUCUUUUUUAGGAAUUGUAUAUAAGAUGUGUGUGAUAAUUAAUGUUUUCAUAUACUUUGAUAAUUUUUGUUAUGCUAAUUAGAUAACAAGCAUGCUAGGGUUUCUUUAUUUUAUUAUUAUCUAAUCCCUCAUGUCUUAUGGAAGCGCAUUGUAAGUUAUUUAUGCUAUCCAGGUACGCCCCCCCUAUCGCCUACUUUCUAAAUUUUGUAAACAAUCGUGUCACUAUGAAGUAUGCAUAUGUUUGAUAAUCCUUAGGUGUUUAGAUGUAUGUUUGAUUCACUAUGAUUAAAUACAUGUUGUGUGUUAUACUUCUAUACUAACUCUGAUGUUUUAUGAUAGCGCUUGAGAAGCGGUCCGGGUACGCAUCCUACCCUUUCUUUUAUGGCAAUUUGAUCUUGUUUAGCAUGCAAAUCUUUUGAAAUCACCUAGCCUACUUAGGUAUCCAUAAUUAACCGAUUAAUUGCCAUAUUCCCCUUAACUUAAUUAGUAGAGACCUCUUUAGGGCUUAGAGGGGUGCUACCUCCUAGAGGUACCUUCCCAAUAAGUAACCUGAUCCCCGGACCAAGACUUGGGUUUUCAAAGACACGCUUUUCCAAAAAUUAUGGAGUCAUUUUUUUUAGGGUUUUAUUUCUUGUUUUAUUUUCCCUUCAAAAAUAAAAAUAAAAUAAGUGGCGACUCCAACUUUUUUUCAAAAAAUCAAAUUUUCACAAAUAAAUAAAAAGCGAGUCUCGCCGAUCGAGUGGGGGCGCACGUGAAAAAUGCGGGUCCACAACAAGUCCCUCUACUAUUUGUAACUUUUGUGGAAGAGGAGGGCACAUUAGUAGAACAUGUCCCUUAAGAAAUGGAUCUCAAAAAAAUUCAAACACUAAGGUUAAAAAGGUUUGGAUUGAAAAAUCCAAAAUCACUAACCCUCAAGGACCCAAAAAGAUAUGAGUACCUAAAUCAACUUAAAUUUUAUUUUGUAGGGUUCAAAGAAGGAUAAGUGGUUCUUGGAUAGUGGAUGCUCAAGACACAUGACCGGGGAUGAAUCCAAGUUUGCUUUCCUCACAAAGAGAAAGGGAGGAUACGUUACUUUUGGAGACAAUGCAAAAGGAAGGAUCAUUGGUUAAGGCAACAUUGGUAAUGACACAUCCUCCCUUAUUGAAAGUGUUUUAUUAGUAGAUGGUUUAAAACAUAAUCUUUUAAGUAUUAGUCAACUUUGUGACAAAGGUUUUAAAGUAGUUUUUGAAGCAUCUCAUUGCAUUAUCAAAGAUAUUCAAAAUGAUAAAACCAUCUUCAUGGGCCAUAGAUGUGAUAAUGUCUAUGCUAUUAAUAUUUCAAAAUAUGAUGGCCAUGAUAGAUGCUUUUCAAGCAUGCAUGAUCAAAGUUGGUUGUGGCAUAGGAGGUUGGGACAUGCUAACAUGGACCUCAUUUCCCAACUCAACAAAGAUGAACUUGUUAGAGGCCUUCACAAAGUAAAUUUUCAAAAAGACAAAGUUUGUGAAGCUUGUCAAAUGGGAAAGAAAAUCAAAAAUUCUUUUAAAAACAAAAAUUUUAUUUCAACAUCUAGACCUCUUGAGUUGUUGCAUAUGGAUUUAUUUGGUCCCUCUAGGACACCAAGUCUUGGAGGAAAAUUUUAUGCAUAUGUUAUUGUGGAUGACUUCUCUAGAUACACUUGGGUCUUGUUUUUAAGUCAAAAGAAUGAAGCAUUUUAUGAGUUUUCAAAGUUUUGCAACAAAGUUCAAAAUGAAAAAGGUUUCACAAUCACUUGUAUAAGAAGUGAUCAUGGGAGAGAAUUUGAAAACAUUGAUUUUGAAGACUAUUGCAAUGAACAUGGUAUUAACCAUAAUUUUUCGACUCCUAGAACUCCUCAACAAAAUGGGAUAGUUGAAAGGAAAAAUAGAACUCUUCAAGAAAUGGCUAGAACCAUGCUAAAUGAAAACAACUUACCAAAAUAUUUUUGGGCCGAAGCGGUUAACACUUCAUGUUAUGUUUUAAAUAGAAUACUUUUGAGGCUCAUUCUUAAGAACACUCCCUAUGAGCUUUGGAAAAACAAGAAACCCAACAUUAGCUAUUUCAAAGUCUUUGGAUGCAAAUGUUUUAUAUUAAACACCAAAGAUAAUAUUGGAAAAUUUGAUGCAAAAUUGGAUGUUGGAAUUUUUCUUGGUUAUUCAACUUCAAGGAAAGCUUUUAGAGUGUUUAACAAAAGAACCAUGGUUGUAGAGGAGUCCAUCCAUGUCAUUUUUUAUGAAUCUAACAAUUCCUUCCAAGAAAAAGAAAGCUUUGAUGAUGAUUUAGGCUUGGAGACCUCCAUGGGAAAAUUGCAAAUUGAAGAUAGAAUGCAACAAGAAGAAAUUGAAGAGGAUCCCAAGAAAGAAGAAUCACUAUUGGCACUACCCCCUCCUCAUUAAGUACAAAGUGAAUCAAGCCAAGACCUUCCUAAAGAUUGGAAGUUUGUGAUCAACCACCCACAAGAUCAAAUUAUAGGUAAUCCAUCUAGUAGGGUAAGAAUUAGAUCAUCUCUCAAAAACAUUUGCAAUAAUCUUGCUUUUGUCUCUCAAAUUGAACCUAAAAAUAAAAAUGAUGCUCUAGUUGAUGAAAAUUGGAUGAUUGCCAUGCAAGAAGAGUUAAAUCAAUUUGAAAGAAGUGAAGUAUGGGAAUUAGUGCCAAGACCCUCAAAUCAAAGUGUUAUUGGAACUAUAUGGGUCUUUAGAAAUAAAAUGGAUGAAAAUGGCAUAAUUGUUAGAAAUAAAGCAAGAUUGGUAGCCCAAGGUUUUAAUCAAGAAGAUGGGAUAGAUUAUGAAGAAACCUUUGUGCCAGUAGCUAGAUUAGAAGCCAUUAGAAUGCUACUUGCAUUUGCAUGUUUUAAAGACUUUGUCUUGUAUCAAAUGGAUGCAAAAAGUGCUUUCUUAAAUGGUUUCAUAAAUGAAGAAGUAUAUGUUGAA
This 40954-nucleotide long non-coding RNA is filed under the name Vitis vinifera (wine grape). Its description in RNAcentral is "long non-coding RNA (VVIN_LNC000145)". The record is from RNAcentral. Lineage: Eukaryota; Viridiplantae; Streptophyta; Magnoliopsida; Vitales; Vitaceae.